GAUGCUAGGCUUCACAUUUUUGUUUUUAUCUGUGGCCAUCGAUGAUGAUGUCGUUUGGAGCAACAAUCUUCCUUAUGAUUCACACCAAGGAAAGCUGGACUAAAAUCACUCUAUAUGCACUUUCCUUUAUUCCAGUAGGCAUCUUUGCCCUGUCUUAUUUCCCCCUUUAUUCAUCACUGACAAAAACUUACAAGUACUUGCUUAGAAAGGCAAGGCAGGUAGCUCCCUUGAGCACAUGCAUGCUACCAGCAGAUCGCAACAAACCCACGGCAAAAUCACAUACUUCCAUUUUAUUUGUCUGAUAUUUCCUUGUGUGGAGUACUACAACAAAUUACACACUCAAUCGAAUAAAGGGGUAGAUCAAAUAGUCCAAAGAGAGUGGGUGCACAUUUGAAUUUGGACAAAAAGACCUACUAUUUCUUGGUAAACCAAAAAUAAAAUGCUUAUGUUAUGUAUUGUUAUAGGAAAUCAUUUUUCUUCAAGUGUUAGUGAGGAUGUUCAAUGAAUUGAUGUAAUGUGUUACAACUUUAGUUGCUACACUUGAGGAUUAAGUUGUUCAAAUUUCCACUAUGGAUGGUGUUUUCUAUAAUUCAC
RNAcentral lists this unclassified non-coding RNA (594 nucleotides) under Hevea brasiliensis (rubber tree). Lineage: Eukaryota; Viridiplantae; Streptophyta; Magnoliopsida; Malpighiales; Euphorbiaceae. The record is from RNAcentral.